Molecule: ribosomal RNA, 1348 nt
Filed under: uncultured bacterium
Lineage: Bacteria
Description: bacterial SSU rRNA
Rfam family: Bacterial small subunit ribosomal RNA
Source: RNAcentral
CUGGCGGCGUGCUUAACACAUGCAAGUCGAACGGGGAUGCUUAUGGAAGGAGUGCUUGCACUUUGGAAAUGAGUAUCUUAGUGGCGGACGGGUGAGUAACGCGUGGGUAACCUGCCCCAUACCGGGGGAUACCACCUGGAAACAGGUGCUAAUACCGCAUAGGCGCACGGGAGCGCAUGCUCCUGUGUGAAAAACUCUCGGUGGUAUCGGGAUGGACCCGCGUCUGAUUAGCCGGUUGGCACGGUAACGGCCUACCAAGCGACGAUCUUAGCCGGCCUGAGAGGGUGGACGGCCACAUUGGGACUGAGACACGGCCCAAACUCCUACGGGAGGCAACAAUGGGGAAUAUUGCACAAUGGGGGAAACCCUGAUGCACCGACGCCACGUGAGUGAAGAAGUAUUUCGGUAUGUAAAGCUCUAUCACCAGGAACGACACAAGACCGUACCUGACUAAUAAGCCCUCGGCUAACUACGUGCCAGCAGCCGCGGUAAUACGUAGGGGGCAAGCGUUAUCCGGAAUCACUGGGUGUAAAGGGAGCGUAGACGGCUGACCAGGCCUGAAGUGAAAGGCGGGGGCCCAACCCCGGCACUGCUUUGGGAACUGUACGGCUGGAGUGCACGAGAGGUAAGUGGAAUUCCUAGUGUAGCGGUGAAAUGCCUAGAUAUCUAGGAGGAACACCAGUGGCGAAGGCGGCUUACUGGACUCUAACUGACGUUGAGGCUCGAAAGCGUGGGGAUCAAACAGGAUUAGAUACCCUGGUAGUCCACGCAGUAAACGAUGAUUAUUAGGUGUCGGGGGGCGAGAGGCCUUUCGGUGCCGCAGCAAACGCAAUAAGUAAUCCACCUGGGGAGUACGUCCGCAAGGAUGAAACCCAAAGGAAUUGACGGGGACCCGCACAAGCGGUGGAGCAUGUGGUUUAAUUCGAAGCAACGCGAAGAACCUUACCCGGCCUUGACAUCCCCCUGACAGCAUAUGUAAUGUAUGUUCCUUUCGGGGCAGGGGAGACAGGUGGUGCAUGGUUGUCGUCAGCUCGUGUCGUGAGAUGUUGGGUUAAGUCCCGCAACGAGCGCAACCCUUACCCACAGUAGCCAGCACAAAAGGUGGGCACUCUGUGGGGACUGCCGGGGACAACCCGGAGGAAGGUGGGGAUGACGUCAAAUCAUCAUGCCCCUUAUGGCCGGGGCUACACACGUGCUACAAUGGCGUAAACAAAGGGAAGCGAGAGAGUGAUCUUAAGCGAAACUCAAAAAUAACGUCCCAGUUCGGAUUGCAGUCUGCAACUCGAUUGCAUGAAGCUGGAAUCGUUAGUAAUCGCGGAUCAGAAUGCCGCGGUGAAUACGUUCCCGG